GUCCAGCGACGAGUCCCAAACAAAACGAAAUGCGCAUUCUGGAU
Molecule: non-coding RNA, 44 nt
Filed under: Trichobilharzia regenti
Lineage: Eukaryota; Metazoa; Platyhelminthes; Trematoda; Strigeidida; Schistosomatidae
Source: RNAcentral